ACGCUGGCGGCAGGCUUAACACAUGCAAGUCGAACGGUAACAGGAAUUAGCUUGCUAAUUUGCUGACGAGUGGCGGACGGGUGAGUAAUGCUUGGGAAUCUGGCUUAUGGAGGGGGAUAACUACGGGAAACUGUAGCUAAUACCGCGUAAAAUCUUCGGAUUAAAGGGUGGGACUUUCGAGCCACCUGCCAUAAGAUGAGCCCAAGUGGGAUUAGGUAGUUGGUUAGGUAAAGGCUGACCAAGCCGACGAUCUCUAGCUAGUCUGAGAGGAUGACCAGCCACACUGGAACUGAGACACGGUCCAGACUCCUACGGGAGGCAGCAGUGGGGAAUAUUGCACAAUGGGGGGAACCCUGAUGCAGCCAUGCCGCGUGAAUGAAGAAGGCCUUCGGGUUGUAAAGUUCUUUCGGUGACGAGGAAGGUUGAUAGGUUAAUAGCCUAUCAAAUUGACGUUAAUCACAGAAGAAGCACCGGCUAACUCCGUGCCAGCAGCCGCGGUAAUACGGGGGGUGCGAGCGUUAAUCGGAAUAACUGGGCGUAAAGGGCACGCAGGCGGUGACUUAAGUGAGAUGUGAAAGCCCCGAGCUUAACUUGGGAAUUGCAUUUCAUACUGGGUCGCUAGAGUACUUUAGGGAGGGGUAGAAUUCCACGUGUAGCGGUGAAAUGCGUAGAGAUGUGGAGGAAUACCGAAGGCGAAGGCAGCCCCUUGGGAAUGUACUGACGCUCAUGUGCGAAAGCGUGGGGAGCAAACAGGAUUAGAUACCCUGGUAGUCCACGCUGUAAACGAUGUCGAUUUGGGGAUUGGGCUUUGAGCUUGGUGCCCGUAGCUAACGUGAUAAAUCGACCGCCUGGGGAGUACGGCCGCAAGGUUAAAACUCAAAUGAAUUGACGGGGGCCCGCACAAGCGGUG
Molecule: ribosomal RNA, 910 nt
Filed under: uncultured bacterium
Lineage: Bacteria
Description: bacterial SSU rRNA
Rfam family: Bacterial small subunit ribosomal RNA
Source: RNAcentral